This 979-nucleotide small RNA is filed under the name Cryptococcus neoformans H99. RNAcentral describes it as "Cryptococcus neoformans var. grubii H99 hypothetical RNA". Lineage: Eukaryota; Fungi; Basidiomycota; Tremellomycetes; Tremellales; Cryptococcaceae. The record is from RNAcentral.
GCGGUGUCAGGUCUAUCAACUUUACAGCCUUAGACUUACCUGAACCCUCGAUUGUCUGACAUAACUCAGAUAGAGUUUAUCAAUUGCGCAAGAUUCGCAAGGAACAUGCGUGUACAGACGCUGUAAAGGCGUCUCACAUCGCAUGACGGGAGAGUAUAGGUCACAAUAAGCAGAUAGUCUAUAAUUAUUGCCACUGAUGGGAGGACGACUCACUAGUAAUCGCAACGUCAUAUCCAGAAGGCUCAUUAUCAUCUCUCUUCUUGGCCCUUCCUUCUUGUCGCACUGCCUUCUGCCUCCCAUUGCUAAGGCCGAUCCUGGCUUGGUACUCUUUCAUUCUCCGCUUGGCCAUAAUUUCCCCUUCCAUUUCCUCUAACUGUCUUCUCAGCCUCUCACUGGGUAGUAGCUUAGUGUUCUCCCAGCCCAUUGGUUUCGUCAACGUGCUUUCGGGUGGCGAAUAGGAUGAGGGCCGAUACGCAGCGAGAAUGUUGAGCUCUUUGCUGCAGUUGUGAGGUUUGGUCUUCUUCCUCUUCUUCAAUGAUAUGGGCUGUGGCGUCUGGACAGGCGUUGGAGCUCUGGAGUCUAGCGAUGCAGGUCUGGUGUGCGACGCGUCAAUAAUCCUCGAAUCUGCAGCGGGGAUCUCCAGCCAUCUCAGCGACACUACUUACUCGUAUGAUGGUUUAGACGAUUGGCUUCCCAUGUGCUAUGGUAUCCUUCAUGCUCAAAAGGACAGAUGGGGACUAGACAUCAUAGAUCCACAGCUGGUUCAUAAUUUAUACAUCAUGGUUUGUUGACGCUGGUUCGUUUUAUCUGAUGCCAAGAGAUAUAAGUACUCAUACCCCACGUACUCCUCGCUCAUCGUACCUUACUAGAUUCCUGUGUGCGCCCUUUAUUUUAUUAUUUUGGCAGGUUCCGCAAACGUACGUAACAUACGUCCAGUAUCCAGCAGUAGCGACACUCCUUUUCCCUAUGUAUCGCCUCC